Molecule: long non-coding RNA, 4362 nt
Filed under: Solanum tuberosum (potato)
Lineage: Eukaryota; Viridiplantae; Streptophyta; Magnoliopsida; Solanales; Solanaceae
Description: long non-coding RNA (STUB_LNC005185)
Source: RNAcentral
GACAAGAUUACCAGAAUCCAACAGCACUGCAACUGGAUUUUGGACUGAUCGUGAGGUGUUCGUGGACCAUAUAGUUUCAUUCUUGUCAUUAAGUAGAGCAAGUAUUCCCGGCUUGUUGACCUUCAAAACGACUGAAGAUGUAUUGGUGAGUGGUUUCUCUCUGUUUGCAACCCAUACAAUUGUUUGGACAUAAGGAAGAAUUUGCUUGUACCAUAUCCCAAUAUAUCGCGUUGUGGAACCAUUGGGGCUGAAAAAUCCCAGCUCAAAGGUUCCACCAGAUGAAACAAUAGUGUCACCAUCUGUUAUGAACUGAUUAGUAUUGAUUACAUUUGUCGUAGUAGAACUAAUCUUCGGUAUAAAAGAGUAGAAAGAUAGUAAGAAAAGUAUGAAGUAUUUAGAUUCCAUCUAUGUGUUUGAUGCCUAAGCCUUUUAAUUUGGUCGCCUAUAUAUUGCCCUUUCAUAUUUAGAUUGACUUUAUACUAGUCCUUAUUUCAUAUAAUGAUUUGAAGUUUCUUAGUGCCUCUUCUUGACGGAAAGAAGAGAGAAAUUUCAUAAUCAUGAUGUGACAUAAGUAAUAAGACAUCUUUACCUAAAUUUGGAAGUACUCCUUAGUCCUCACAAGUCACAAGGCUGCUAGUGCUAGGGCCAAGCCACCAAGGCCUGACUUUUGGUCACAAAGUUUUGUUGCAUUAUGCAACUAGUUAUUGACUGGCCCAUAUGUCCACAGUAGAAUGUGUGACGCUGCUUCGUUUAAUUUCGCAGUCCUUGCGCAAGCAAUUUUUUUUUUAAAAAAAAAACAAGAGACAACUCGCAAGACCACCUAUUAUAAUUGCUUGAACUAAUCAAUGGUGUCUGCAUGGUUUAAUCUCCUUUGCCCUCCGUUUCAAUUCAUAUGAUGUAGUUUGACUUGACAGAGAGUUUAAGAAAGAUAAAGACUUUUGAAACUUGUGACUAUAAAUGAGUCUACAUGUUUGUGGGGCUAUAAAUUAUGUAAAAUGAAUAUUUUAAAAUUAAAUUGUUAUUAUAUAUAGAAAAUAUGUCAUUGUUUGGACGAACUAAAAAGAAAAAUAAGUCUUAUAAUUGGGACAAAAAGCCCUUGCAUUGAUAUAUAUGAACCUGUUUUGACUAAAUUUUCAAGUGAAACGUGUUUUUUUAAACUCACAAAGUUUUUACUUUUUUUCAAGUUAACUUUAUGUUCAAACACAAAUUCAACUUUCAAAUUUUUUUUCUAACUUCCUUUUCAAAUAUAAUUUUUAUGUCCAGACGCCUUCAUAUAGUGUCCUAAAAUUUUGCCAUAUACAACGUCUUGCUAAAUUUCAUACAAUAAAGAUUUUAAGUAAUAUGGUGUGGAGAAAACUUUUUAUAUACUGUCAUAUUAUUUUACCUGUAGUACAUAAUACAUUUUAUUUUCAAAUUUCACAUUUUAGGAAAUAUUAAUGGUAGAUAUCCUGAAUGACCUAAUAGGACGAUAUCAACUUUCACAUUUUAGAAAAAAAUAUUUUUUAUGAUAUGAACGUAUGACCUUCCAUGAAAUUUACUCAGAAACACAUAUAGGCAGGUCAAGUAAACGUUAGUGCCUUAUUGAUGAAAACAAUGUUGGUCCCCGUUAACAAUUGGAAUUUAAGCAUGUUCUAGAUCAUAUAUAGUGAAUAUAUGGACGUAUAUUUGAGAAUAACUAUAUGGUCAAAGAACCAACGUGGUUGUGGUGCAGUGAUGUACUGUUUCAUCCUUAACUAGAGGUCUCGAGUUUGAGCCUGGGAGAAAAUCCUAUUGGAGCGCUACCUACCCCUGAAUGAGCCCUGCAUUACUCUAUUUAGAUUUAAUUGGAGCUUCAAUGCGGGCUCCGGACGCCGGUGGAAAAAGAAAGAAGCUAUAUGUAUGGUCAAAGCAAACAAAUUUGACGAGGCUAAAAGAUAAUCAUAUGUAUUUGACCAUAUGGGAUAAUCAGUACGUUGAAGAAUUGAAUAUUUACUAAGCUCGCAGAAAUAUAUUGAAAUGGGUUGUUCAAACAAAAGAUGGAGACACAGACUAAGAUAAGAAAUUGGUUGAGAUCUGUCAUAUCCAAUGACCUGAAAAUGAAGGCAGCUAAAUUAAUUAUUUUAUUUUAAUGAGUACAGUAAUAAAUUUGUUGAAAAAAGAAUCUUGAUGUGUUUACACGUCAAUUUGGUUUUUGAUACAACUACUUCACAAAAUAAUAUUAGGGCAAAUUACAAAAAUCACAUACUUUUAAGGCAAAAUUACAAUCUAUCCCUUAAAAGUUUAUAAUUACAGAAAUCCCUCAAACGGAUACAAUAAUAUAACCGCUGAUACAUUAAUCUGAUGCGUGAGAUACAUUAAUCGUUAAGUAAGAUACAUUACAUAUUAUACAUGAUACACUAAUCUGAUGUACAUUUUAUACAUGAUACACUAAUCUGAUGCGCGAGAUGCAAUAAUAUAAGUACUGAUACAUUAAUCUGAUGCGCGAAAAUGAGGGAUUUUGGAAAUUUGUAAAACUUAUAGGGGAUAAUGGUAAUAAGUAAACUAUAAGGUGGGAUUUCUGUAAUUUUUUCAUAAUAUAAUUAGUCAUAACAUUGUUUACAUUAUUUAAGCUAAGAUCAAUUUACACAAGAAAGAGGUGAAGGAAAAAUUGAUCAUAAUAUGGGAUGUGGUUCCAUUAUUAUUAUUAUUAUUAUUAUUAUUGUUAUGUUAUUUUGUUCUUCUUUGAAUGGGCCUAACACUUUAUUUAUGAUAGGAAUUAGGAAACUUAAGUAAAUUCCUUUAAUUUGUGAGUUAAUUAUUUAGAUACACUUAAGUUUGUAAUAUUACGUAUUUUAUCAGAUUUUGGUGCCUCCACAUACGUCUAGAUAUAUGUAUCUCAGAUACAUGGGGUCAAAUUUAUGUGUAAUUUGUUCUAGCUACAUUGUAUCCAAAUAGAUUCGUAUACAUCCGAGAUACAUAAUAAAUAUCGCUUGCCUCUCUCCCAUUGCUUGCUACUCUCCUAUGUUUCUAGUAUCCUAGAUACAUGCUAAUUACACAAGAUACAUACAUAUACAAUAUGUAUCUAGUGUGAUUUGCAUGUAUCUGGGAUACAUAACGAAUCUUGUUCGCCUCCCUCCCAUCUCACUCACCUCUCUCCCUAUUUUAGUGUAUCUGGUAGCAAAAAUACACGCAUCUAAGUGUAUCUUCCUCAAUAUAUGGUAGGAAACUCUUAAUUAGUGGUAAGAUACUAAAUAUUUUGAAAGUAUAAAUGAUAAUAGUAUAUAUGAUUGUGAAAUAUGUCUAAUUAAGAUGUGGAAAUUGGACCCAACAGUUUAAAUUAUAUUUAAUCCCGAUGCAAACUGGAAUAUAUCUAGAAAUUACAUUCAAUAAUUUUGAAAAUUGGUGGUUUUGAACUUUUGACCAUCGCCAUGAGCAAACCUUUAAUAAUUAAGGUCAUUAAAAAGUUAAAGCUUGUUAAAAUUAAAAUUGUAUUCAUAAGACAAGUAAAGUAAAAAAUUCAAAAUCAUUCGCCUUAAAAAUCACUCUGAUAAAUCUCUCAAAAUACACAAGAACAUAUUCCAUAUCCACGAAGCCACCAUAUAGCGCAUAAAAUGAUGAUUAAUUAACUUGUUGGAGAUAUCUGAUGGACCUUGAUAAUAUCAUAGAGAACAAAGAGAAGGAGAGAGUUAUAAGCUCAAUCAUAUCAGUAUGAUAAUUCUAUUUCUGUAAUAGUAUAUCAUUACAAAAGAGUUUAUACAGAUGCAAAAGGAUAGUUUAAGACAUAAAUUAAAGCCCCACUUCCUACAAUAGUAUAUUAUUACAAUGGAUUUGUUAAAGUUGUUAUUUUGAUAAAUUAAUGAUUGGGGUUGAUUAAUUAUACUAUAUGAAAUUUAUGUUUAAAAUUGAAGUUUACUUAAAGUAGAUUUAGGUUGAUCGAUCAUGUGUUUGAGUAUUGAGAAGAAUCAAAAAAAAAAAUUAAUUUGGCCAAAAAAAAUAAUUAAAAGCAUAUAUGACGGUAAUUUUAGUCAUUUUUUACCUGCACUUCACUGAUACAAAAUUUUAGACACAACUAAAAUUUAGUCAAUUUUGAAAUAUGCUUCGGUCAUGUAUCCUUUUUAUUUAGAGUCAUGCUACGAUUGAAAUUCAUAUUUAAACGGGAAAUUAAAAAUUAAAAGAAUGCUAAAUGAAUUUCUUAAAUUUAUUGUUAUUUUAAUAAAUUGAUGAUUGAAGUUUAUUCUUUAUGAUAUCUAAAACUGAUGUUACAUAUUUGAGUUUGUUUGAAGGAAAUUUGGACGUUGAUGUAUGUUGAACACUUGAAGACUGAAGUGGUUAAAAUUUGAAGAACAAAAAUUCCAAACACACAUGUCUACUUCUUAUAUACACUUCACUCAUAUAUAUUACUCC